UGGAGAACCAGGUGCUGGUGAUUCGGAUC
This 29-nucleotide non-coding RNA is filed under the name Mus musculus (house mouse). The record is from RNAcentral. Lineage: Eukaryota; Metazoa; Chordata; Mammalia; Rodentia; Muridae.